UCAGGACGAACGCUGGCGGCGUGCCUAACACAUACAAGUCGAGCGGGGACAUACGACGGAGUCAAAGUUUCGGAUGGAGACAAAGAUGUAUGUUCUAGCGGCGGACGGGUGAGUAACGCGUGAGCAACCUGUCCCUUACAGGGGGAUAACACAGCGAAAGUUGUACUAAUACCGCAUAAGACCACGGAAGGACAUCCUUCAGGGGGUCAAAGGAGCAAUCCGGUAAGGGGUGGGCUCGCGUCCGAUUAGAUAGUUGGUGAGGUAACGGCCCACCAAGUCGACGAUCGGUAGCCGACCUGAGAGGGUGAUCGGCCACAUUGGGACUGAGACACGGCCCAAACUCCUACGGGAGGCAGCAGUGGGGAAUAUUGGGCAAUGGGGGAAACCCUGAACCCCAGCAACGCCGCGUGAGGGAAGAAGGUUUUCGGAUCGUAAACCUCUGUCCUUGGUGAAGAGUGAGAGACGGUAGCCAAGGAGGAAGCCCCGGCUAACUACGUGCCAGCAGCUGC
Molecule: ribosomal RNA, 509 nt
Filed under: uncultured bacterium
Lineage: Bacteria
Description: bacterial SSU rRNA
Rfam family: Bacterial small subunit ribosomal RNA
Source: RNAcentral